Molecule: ribosomal RNA, 240 nt
Filed under: uncultured bacterium
Lineage: Bacteria
Description: partial 16S ribosomal RNA
Rfam family: Bacterial small subunit ribosomal RNA
Source: RNAcentral
CCGGGCGCACGGGUGAGUAACGCGUAUGCAACUUACCUAUCAGGAGGGGAGAACCGGCGAAAGUCGGACUAAUACCGCAUGAAGCAGGGGCCCCGCAUGGGGAUAUUUGCUAAAGAUUCAUCGCUGAUAGAUAGGCAUGCGUUCCAUUAGGCAGUUGGCGGGGUAACGGCCCACCAAACCGACGAUGGAUAGGGGUUCUGAGAGGAAGGUCCCCCACAUUGGUACUGAGACACGGACCAA